This 6986-nucleotide long non-coding RNA is filed under the name Prunus persica (peach). Its description in RNAcentral is "long non-coding RNA (PPER_LNC001361)". Lineage: Eukaryota; Viridiplantae; Streptophyta; Magnoliopsida; Rosales; Rosaceae. The record is from RNAcentral.
UAAAAUUGAACAUCAUAAGAACUUUGUGUGGUACUAAGUCAUUUAUGUAUUUUACAGUACAAUGUAUAAAGAGUAAAAUAGUGUAGUAAAUUAUUAUAUAUAAAUAAUUAUCGUGUGUUUAAUCUUCUUUCAUUAAUUAUUAUAUAUUUUCUAAACUCACAGUGUUCGUCAGCUCUCUAUAUAAUCAACUUAAAUAAGUUAACCCAUCAUGCAACGCAGUGGCGAAGCCAGAAUUUCAUGUGUGUGGGGGCUUCUCACAAAAUAUAAACAAUAAAAAAUUUGAACUCACAAGACAUACCAAAACAUCAAAAAUUAUAUUGUGUAUUCAUUACAAUCAUCAUUGUUCUUGACGAGUGUUCAUAUUUUGAAAUCGUUGCAUAACAACCUCGUCAUCUAUACUAUUGGAAAUGUCUCUCUCAAUAUAUGCAACGAAGCAAUCAUUUAUACAUAAAUUGAAAGAUCAAUUAAAAUCAAUAAAAAGAAAAAGAAAAUCAAAAUUUUAUGAACUAAAAAUAAAUAAAUAAAUAAAAAAGAGAACUACUAAAAAAACUUUAAUUGAAUAAAUUAACCUAAUUAAAACUUGAUAGUUUAAUAUGGAGUUUGAGAGAAAAACUCACAAGCAGUGCAUUGAGAAAGUCUGCUUUGCUGUUUGUGUAUCUCCAAGAAAGGAGAAAAAUGGGUUAGUGUUGUAAAUAUAUAUGGUGGAGCCCACCUCUACUUGCCUAUAAAUAUGGCAUCUCCCUCUAAUUGUAUUAGAUACAUAAAUGAGAAUGAAAAUUCAGUUUCUAUAUUUUCUCUCUAUCCCAAUUCUCUCUACAAUUUCUCUUUAGAUUUAUAACACGUUAUCAGCACGAAGCUCUAACCAGCUGAGUUCUCUGAUAAAACCCAGAGACCAAAAUCAAACAGAAAUUCAAAAAUUCCCAACUAGCCUUUUCUUGCUUGGCACUCUCCAAACUCUCUCCACAGCGCCAAAGCCAUGGGUGUGAAGCCCAAGCAAGAAGACCCUCCACCAUCCUCUGCCAGUGUAGAAACAGUAGAAGAAAUAAUGAAACUCUACAAGUCCCUGCCGCCAAGACCCUCCAUUGAAGAGGUUGAAGCAGCCCAAACUGUGCUCAAAACAGUCAACAGUGAGGAGGAAAAGAAGCUUGAGGAGAUAUCAAGGCAAGAGAAGCCCGAAAAUGUCCCUGAAGAGCUCUUCUCUGUGUUGCAGAAGGUGAAGAAAACUAUGGUUUUGUUUCAGAGCCAGGACCAGAGGAAAGAGGCUGUUCAUGUGGUUGAGAUGGAGGGUUUGUUUCAGACCUUUGAUGAUCUUAUCCAGACAGCUUCUGGGUUGGUUUCUGGUGAUACUCAGGUUCAGAAACAUGUUAAUUUAGAGGACCCAGUUGAGAAAAUUGGGAGAGAAACUGUGAUUAGUGAUGAAAGUUUGACGAUGAAGAAGGAAGAUAAGGAAUCAGAGAGAGAUGGGUUUAAGGGUGUGGUGAGAAGUGCUUCCACUUUGUCUUCAAGUUGCUUUAUUUUCUUCACAACUCCGAGAGGAUAGCUGUGGAUUAUGUCACCGUGCUGUUUCAGAAGUAUUGGUUAAGUUGAAAGAUCCUGAUACACAGCUGGAGAUCAUUGAGUUGCUUUUGAAGGCGUGCAAUAAGGAGGCAGCAAUGAUGAAAGCAAAAGAAAAAAUAAAAUAAAAUAAAAGAUCAUUCAGCAAGGGCACUGACCCUAAAGUGCUGAAGCAUCUUUUAAUAAAAACAGCAAAACCCACCGACCCACCGAAAGAAUAAGCGAUAAGAUCUCUGCUCCCGUAUCUUUCCCAUUAUUUCCUAUUAUAUUAUUUCCUAUUUCCUCUAAGUAUAUAUAUAUAUAUAUAUAUAAUAUACUAUAUUUAUCUGCCAUUCUAUUACUAACCUUUAACAAAAUGGACCCUUGGUAAUACUAAACAUAUUAUCAGUGGGAGACCGUUACUAAUACUAACAUUUUUCUUAUUUUAUUCGGUGGUGGUUUUAACCCCAUAUUUAUUUUAUUUACUGUAUGGUGUAGGUUUAUUACCCAUACGACAGUAUUUAUUUAAAAGGGUGGUGCGAGUUUAUCGUCCACGCCUUUACUUUUAUUUAAAUGUAUGGAGCAGAAUUAGUGCCCAUAUAAGCACAUUUACUUUACCGUACAUUUAAUUUUAUUUAAGGUAUGGUGCGGGAUUAACGUCCAUACAGCAAGCAAUUUAAUUUAUGAAUUUACUUUACCGCACAUUUACAUUUAUUUAAAGUAUGGUGCGGGUUUAUCGUCCAUACCAGUAAUUUAUUUACCAGUAAUUUAUUUUAUGGAUUAAUUGUGCUGUAUGAUGAGUUUUUACAGUAUGCAGAUCAGGACCAGAAGUUCCUUGAUCCUCAUCAUACAAUUACAUCAGGACUUGAAGAUCUUUGAUGAUGAUGUUAAUAUGAGAGCUGACAGUCUCUCCGGUACUAUAUUUUUUAAACAUGUGAUUGGACUUGAGGGUCCUUGAUCCCUGACAUGUAAAUAAGGACCUGGGGUUCCUUAAUGAUGUAACAGUACCGUAUUGGUUCAUAAUGCCGUACACAUGGAUGAUAACUGUACUGGCAAAUGUACUGUACACAUGAAUAGAUACGUAUUCAUGACUUGAUGAAUAGUACCGGAUAUAUGAAUAGUGAUGUAUACAUAAAUAUUAACCAUUUUGGGUAAGCCAUCACUAUUCAAAAAGGAACCUGCAAUUCCUUAAACUCAUGGAUGAGCAAUUAAAUGAGAUGCCAGAAGUUCCUCAAGAUAUGGAUAAUUACGUAAGGGCUUGAAGUCCAGAAAUAUGUACAGAAAAUUGUAAAAAUGUCCAUACCAUGAGAACAUGUGAUUUUGGCUUGAGGUUCAAAAUCUAAGUGUUGAGAACCUGAAGUUCCAACAAUUAAAUGGACAACCCUUGAGGUAUUAUUGCAAAUUGUGGUACGCCACAUAUUUCUUUGGCAUAAGAGAAUGAUGAAUUGAGGCUCCCCACAUAUUUUGUUAUAUCUGGGCCGGAAGCUCAUGAACCCAAAUAUAUGAGAUAUUAGCGUGGCCUUUACUCAAUUCAUAUUUCAUGUCCACUUGAAAAGGGCGAAUAAAUUCUGAGUUUGUGUUUAGCCCAGGCAAAAAGUUCCAUACGUUGAAAUAUGAAAUUUGGGAGAGUCGAUGUGGUUAUUUGAACCUAUAAGGCACAAGGUUCCAAACCGUCAUUUUGAAAAGACGUAAUAACUACAGGUGCAAGUUUAAGAAUGUGCACAAUUAUUAUAACAGAAACAUACAACAGAUAGAUUUUUUCCACCUGCAAUGAAGGUGCAGGCCCUGUAAAAUCUAUAAAAUUACAUUAUGUUCUGGAAGCCUCUGCAGGAAGAGGACGACGCCUCUUAAGCUUAGCCAUGAGCCUCUCGUGGUCUCCCAAAAUUCUUUCAUUGGAGACCUGCAGCAUGUCUAGCCUUCUCAGUGUAUCAACAGAGUACGAACUCACCAGUUUCAACAAGGCAUUAUUCUCUCCUUUAAGUUUCUCAACCUCCUGUUGAGACUCAUGAAGCAUUCUUUGGAGAGACGAAUUUUCGGUUGUUAACUUCUCAACCUCGUUUGCUCUGGCACGCAAGCGAUCAGCCAUGUUAGAAACAGAAACAGCACUCUGAAUGCUAAAAGCCAUUGAGUCAUCAAUAGCCUCUUCCUCAGACCUCCCUGUUAACAUCAUUUUAUCCAUUGGAGUAAUGAAAUUCCUAGCUACUAUGACAGCAGUAGCAUCAUUCAUCAUCACAGAAUCAUUAACUGUGAGAUGACGAUUUUGGGAUACAAAGGAUGGACGCCAAACUUUGACGUCACUGGUUGUUGUGGGAGUAUCAUUUAAAUUGAAAUAAUUUGGGCAGGAAGAAGAGGAAGCCAUUUUUAAGAAGGUUUCGAAGAAAGCCUUAAGAAAACUAAAGUUUCAGAAAAUGAAGGAAGUUAAGUUGAAACGCAGUUGCUCCAAUCAAGUUUUGCAAAGGCAAUAUCUAUAGGAGGAAAUAUGGCUACAGUUUUUCAGGAUCCCAAUAUCUUUUCGGAUCCCCAUAUUCUCUUUUUCUUUCCAGAUUCCAAAACUUCACGUGGCCUCCAUUAAUGUUUGUCGGCACUUUCGGCGUUUUCAAAGUAUUAUUUUCGUCAAAAGCCGAUCUUGCUUUGCGGAUUUCACGGAGCUAUUUUUUCAAAAGCACCCCGAGAAUCUCGCAAUUUUCCUAUGGUUAAUUUGAAAUUCACCGGUUCUACCUUUUCCUAUUAUUUGUGUAUAAAUGUGUUACUAACGAAAUUUUCUUUGCAGAAGACAUCCAGUUUUCUCCAUAUCUAGUGAUGCGAUAUCUACUUAUUUUUCUUAUCAGUGAGCACUCAAUAUGCCCGAGAAGCAAGACUAUCUCUGAUCAUCCAUUUAGGAAGCGAGACUAUCCCUGAUCACGUUUCCGCCACAUCAGGGGACUGUGAAGGUGACCUUAUGCUCUAAUCUCCGGAAGUUCUUCUAGACUAGGAGAAAUGAGAGCUGGUUGUUUGCUCCCACCAGCUUCCUUCCUUGAUUGCUGAGCUUGUUGUCUGCUCCCACCAGCUUCCUUCCUUGAUUGCUUACCUUCUCUUGCAAUCAAUAUCACAUUUUUUUUGCAUUUUUUCUCUUUUUGUAACUUUCUGUCUUUUUGAUAGAGAAAAGAGUUGUGACUUUGCUCUUGCAGGAUAUAACUAGAUCAUCAAGCGCUACAUUAUAUUUACUGGGUCGAUACAAGCUUGAAUGAUACUUGAGAAAAGUUUAUCCCACCUAAGGAUGUAAGCAAUAUUUAUGUUAUUUUAUGCUUAUAUACUUAUUUGAUAUUUUAUCUUGAAAGGUAACCAAAUGGGGAGAUAAGUCUGUUCCAAAAGAAUGGCUUGUAUGUAUCCACGAAUUAUUAAUGCAAAUUUUACAGAUUGCAAGUUGGAUACAUUGAUAAUACACUGCACAGAUUAAUGUCCCAUAAGAACAGAAUAUGGGUAUAGCAGUGAUCAAUAUGAUGCACGUCUGUUGCGUAGCAAAUGAUGUGGAUUGAAGUCCCGAAAGGACAAUCCUUUGACAUGUCAAUAUUGAUAUUAUACACGCCUAAUGCGUAGCAAAUUAUAUGGGUUAAAGUCCCAUAAUAUGGGUUAAGGUCCCAGAAAUUAAUUGACAUGUAUGUAUUAAUCUGUGGCAUGCCUGCAGCAUGACAGAUAUAUGGGUUCUAAAUGUUCCAACUCCCUACAUGGAGAUUUUCCACGCCCUAUGUAAAAUAAUGCUCCAUUGGAGGUUAUAAUCCACAUUCUCACAUAAUAAAGCCCCCUGAAGUGGCUUGGGUACCCAAAAGCAAAGAAAUGCUUAUAAUUGAUGCAUGCGCAUGCAAAUGAGAAUGAUGGGAUCAUGAAUUGAUGAAUGACAAUUUUUGAUCAUGAAUUGAUGAAUGACAAUUUUUUGUUUUGGAGUAGCUACUCAAAUCAUCAAGGAGUUGUGUUGAUUGGAACCACGUUCAAUUAUUAAAAUGUCGACAAUAUUAUUGGCCAAAAUGGAAUGAGGUAAUUCCAUUAUAGAUGAGAAUGAACGUGAAAGAACAAACCCACAGUACGAACCCCAAAAGAUGUUAAUACUGAAAUUUAUACUUGGGUGUUCGGAAUAGAAGGGAAUAUACCUACUUUGUAUGACACAAUGUUUCUGGCAGAAACAAGGAAUGUUGGGUUUUCUCCAUAUUUACAGAUUCAAUUGUGCCCCCUUAUUACACAAUUAUGGAGACCAACAUAUUAUCUUUAAGGGUUAUUAAAUGCACGGAGCAUAUCGCCAUAAGCGAUUUCCUAAAGAUGUAUAAAUAGCUGGGUAAAAGCUAUAUAAUGUGUCAUAAAGUUUAAUCCCUUUUAGACAAAAUCCGUUGAGAGGAUUGACAUUACAUAAAGCAAGUCCCUAAAGGACAUGUGCUUGAAGCACAAAAUUUGUACUCAAUAUUAAUAUGCAUAAAUUACCUCAGUGAGUACAUUGAUUAUAAUGUGAUUGCAACACAUUAAAGCUUCUGCGGAAUUCACGAAAUAUUUGUCUCGAUUUAAAAAUCGAGCAUUAUGCCAACGAGAUUCUUGCUUAUACUAAGAAAGUAUUGAAGCAUUUUUAUGAGGAUUAUCCGUUGGACACUUUAAGGAUUUUCCGGAAGUAUAUUGGACCGUACAUCGUAUUUUCCAGAUAGAGCUCAACUCCAUCACCAUCAUUUUGGGAUGAUGUGAGGCAUAUUUGAUGCUAUCUCAGCAUAACACCAUAUACGGGCAUAUUUUUUUUUUAGUAAACUUACAAAUAGCCCAAGUGUUAUUAGAUAUGCGGACUCUGAAAAUUUCUAUGGUCGCAUACUGGAAAAGCUAGUCAUGAAGUUUUCAGGGGGAGAUAUUCAUCAGGGGGAGCGUGGUUUUAAUAAAGACCUCCAUACACUGUACUCUUUUUCCUUCAUCCAGGUUUUUAUCCCACUGGGUUUUUCCUGGUAAGGUUUUAACGAGGCAGUGUCGCUCAAGAUUGACUCACAGAAGCAGUGUCAACUACGAUAUUCAGAAAGGUGAUCAACAGUAUGACUUAAAGAUAUUUUGCCAAGCAUCAGGGGGAGCGUGCUAUCAAUAAAGAUCUUCAAACAUUGUACUCUUUUUCUUCCAGGUUUUUAUCCCACUGGGUUUUUCCUGGCAAGGUUUUAACGAGGCAGUGUCGCACGCGCGUCAAUAUACAUAGAAUUUUAUGUUACACAUGAUUAUGUACUCUUUUUCCCUUUGACCAGUUUUUGUCCCACUGGGUUUUUACUGGCAAGGUUUUUAACGAGGCAUAUUCCAUAUCAUUUGUGGUCUCCAAGGGGGAGUGUUGUAAAUAUAUAUGGUGGAGCCCACCUCUACUUGCCUAUAAAUAUGGCAUCUCCCUCUAAUUGUAUUAGAUACAUAAAUGAGAAUGAAAAUUCAGUUUCUAUAUUUUCUCUCUAUCCCAAUUCUCUCUACAAUUUCUC